GAUGAACGCUGGCGGCGUGCCUAAUACAUGCAAGUCGAGCGAACAGACGAGGAGCUUGCUCCUCUGACGUUAGCGGCGGACGGGUGAGUAACACGUGGAUAACCUACCUAUAAGACUGGGAUAACUUCGGGAAACCGGAGCUAAUACCGGAUAAUAUAUUGAACCGCAUGGUUCAAUAGUGAAAGACGGUUUUGCUGUCACUUAUAGAUGGAUCCGCGCCGCAUUAGCUAGUUGGUAAGGUAACGGCUUACCAAGGCAACGAUGCGUAGCCGACCUGAGAGGGGGAUCGGCCACACUGGAACUGAGACACGGUCCAGACUCCUACGGGAGGCAGCAGUAGGGAAUCUUCCGCAAGGGGCGAAAGCCUGACGGAGCAACGCCGCGUGAGUGAUGAAGGUCUUCGGAUCGUAAAACUCUGUUAUUAGGGAAGAACAAAUGUGUAAGUAACUAUGCACGUCUGGACGGUACCUAAUCAGAAAGCCACGGCUAACUACGU
This 496-nucleotide ribosomal RNA is filed under the name uncultured bacterium. RNAcentral's name for it is "partial 16S ribosomal RNA". It matches the Rfam family "Bacterial small subunit ribosomal RNA", at positions 28 to 506 of the family's 1533-position model. The record is from RNAcentral.